This 468-nucleotide ribosomal RNA is filed under the name uncultured bacterium. RNAcentral describes it as "partial 16S ribosomal RNA". It matches the Rfam family "Bacterial small subunit ribosomal RNA", at positions 28 to 507 of the family's 1533-position model. The record is from RNAcentral.
GACGAACGCUGGCGGCGUGCUUAACACAUGCAAGUCGAACGGAAAGGCCCUGCUUUUGUGGGGUGCUCGAGUGGCGAACGGGUGAGUAACACGUGAGUAACCUGCCCUUGACUUUGGGAUAACUUCAGGAAACUGGGGCUAAUACCGGAUAGGAGCUCCUGCUGCAUGGUGGGGGUUGGAAAGUUUCGGCGGUUGGGGAUGGACUCGCGGCUUAUCAGCUUGUUGGUGGGGUAGUGGCUUACCAAGGCUUUGACGGGUAGCCGGCCUGAGAGGGUGACCGGCCACCUUGGGACUGCGAGACGGACCAGACUGCUACGGGAGGCAGCAGUGGGGAAUAUUGCACAAUGGGGCGAAGCCUGAUGAAGCAACGCCGCGUGCGGGAUGAAGGCCUUCGGGUUGUAAAACGCUUUCGCCUGUGACGAAGCGUGAGUGACGGUAAUGGGUGAAGAAGCACCGGCUAACUACGUG